Molecule: ribosomal RNA, 467 nt
Filed under: uncultured bacterium
Lineage: Bacteria
Description: partial 16S ribosomal RNA
Rfam family: Bacterial small subunit ribosomal RNA
Source: RNAcentral
GACGAACGCUGGCGGCGUGCUUAACACAUGCAAGUCGAACGAUGACGACCGAGCUUGCUCGGUCUGAUUAGUGGCGAACGGGUGAGUAACACGUGAGCAACCUGCCCUUCACUCUGGGAUAACCUCGGGAAAUCGGGGCUAAUACCGGAUAUGAGCUCCUGUCGCAUGGCGGGUGUUGGAAAGUUUUUCGGUGAAGGAUGGGCUCGCGGCCUAUCAGUUUGUUGGUGAGGUAGUGGCUCACCAAGGCGAUGACAGGUAGCCGGCCUGAGAGGGCGACCGGCCACACUGGGACUGAGACACGGCCCAGACUCCUACGGGAGGCAGCAGUGGGGAAUAUUGCACAAUGGGCGAAAGCCUGAUGCAGCGACGCCGCGUGAGGGAUGACGGCCUUCGGGUUGUAAACCUCUUUCAGCAGGGAAGAAGCGAAAGUGACGGUACCUGCAGAAGAAGCGCCGGCUAACUACGUG